RNAcentral lists this long non-coding RNA (254 nucleotides) under Hordeum vulgare. Its description in RNAcentral is "long non-coding RNA (HVUL_LNC006128)". The record is from RNAcentral. Lineage: Eukaryota; Viridiplantae; Streptophyta; Magnoliopsida; Poales; Poaceae.
GGGAACCAAAAUCAGUGAGUAAUAUCAUACAAAACUAGCCGGAAUAGGCCAAAACUGCGAGUUUUCAUGAUUUCCCCUUAACUGGACCCCGAGGUUCCCGAAACGUUCGGAUGGCAUCGGGACCCAAAAUCAGUGACUAAUAGCAUACAAAACUGUCCGGAAUAGGCCAAAAACUGUGAGUUUUGACGAGUUCCCCGUAACCGGACCCCGGGGUUGCCGAAACGUUCGGAUCGCAGCGGGACCCAAAAUCAGUG